RNAcentral lists this small RNA (141 nucleotides) under Flavobacterium urumqiense. RNAcentral's name for it is "Flavo-1 RNA". It matches the Rfam family "Flavo-1 RNA". The record is from RNAcentral. Lineage: Bacteria; Pseudomonadati; Bacteroidota; Flavobacteriia; Flavobacteriales; Flavobacteriaceae.
AAAUGCCCCAGAUGAUAGUGAAAAGCCUUUUUAGGAGAAACUGUAUUUUUCUUGGACUUAAAAAGCGACCAAAGGAAGCUCUUUUAAGGACUUAGAAAAAAAAGUUUCGAGAAAAAGCUUGUAACGACAGCUGGAUUAAGG